This 253-nucleotide ribosomal RNA is filed under the name uncultured bacterium. Its description in RNAcentral is "partial 16S ribosomal RNA". It matches the Rfam family "Bacterial small subunit ribosomal RNA", at positions 524 to 776 of the family's 1533-position model. The record is from RNAcentral.
UACGUAGGCAGCAAGCGUUGUUCGGAGUUACUGGGCGUAAAGGGUGUGUAGGCGGUUCUUUAAGUUUGGUGUGAAAUCUCCCGGCUCAACUGGGAGGGUGCGCCGAAUACUGAGGGACUAGAGUACGGGAGAGGAAAGUGGAAUUCCUGGUGUAGCGGUGAAAUGCGUAGAUAUCAGGAGGAACAUCGGUGGUGUAGACGGCUUUCUGGACCGUAACUGACGCUGAGACACGAAAGCGUGGGUAGCAAACAGG